AGUGAACGCUGGCGGUAGGCCUAACACAUGCAAGUCGAACGGCAGCACAGGAGAGCUUGCUCUCUGGGUGGCGAGUGGCGGACGGGUGAGGAAUACAUCGGAAUCUACUUUUUCGUGGGGGAUAACGGAGGGAAACUUACGCUAAUACCGCAUACGACAUACGGGUGAAAGCAGGGGAUCUUCGGACCUUGCGCGAUUGAAUGAGCCGAUGUCGGAUUAGCUAGUUGGCGGGGUAAAGGCCCACCAAGGCGACGAUCCGUAGCUGGUCUGAGAGGAUGAUCAGCCACACUGGAACUGAGACACGGUCCAGACUCCUACGGGGGGCAGCAGUGGGGAAUAUUGGACAAUGGGCGCAAGCCUGAUCCAGCCAUACCGCGUGGGUGAAGAAGGCCUUCGGGUUGUAAAGCCCUUUUGUUGGGAAAGAAAUCCAGCUGGCUAAUACCCGGUUGGGAUGACGGUACCCAAAGAAUAAGCACCGGCUAACUUCGUGCCAGCCGCCGCCGUAA
Molecule: ribosomal RNA, 506 nt
Filed under: uncultured bacterium
Lineage: Bacteria
Description: partial 16S ribosomal RNA
Rfam family: Bacterial small subunit ribosomal RNA
Source: RNAcentral